GAUGAACGCUGGCGGCGUGACUAAUACAUGCAAGUCGAGCGAACGGACGAGAGGCUUGCUUCUCUGAUGUUAGCGGCGGACGGGUGAGUAACACGUGGAUAACCUACCUAUAAGACUGGGAUAACUUCGGGAAACCGGAGCUAAUACCGGAUAAUAUUUUGAACCGCAUGGUUCAAAAGUGAAAGACGGUCUUGCUGUCACUUAUAGAUGGAUCCGCGCUGCAUUAGCUAGUUGGUAAGGUAACGGCUUACCAAGGCAACGAUGCAUAGCCGACCUGAGAGGGUGAUCGGCCACACUGGAACUGAGACACGGUCCAGACUCCUACGGGAGGCAGAAGUAGGGAAUCUUCCGCAAUGGGCGAAAGCCUGACGGAGCAACGCCGCGUGAGUGAUGAAGGUCUUCGGAUCGUAAAACUCUGUUAUUAGGGAAGAACAUAUGUGUAAGUAACUGUGCACAUCUUGACGGUACCUAAUCAGAAAGCCACGGCUAACUACGUG
This 497-nucleotide ribosomal RNA is filed under the name uncultured bacterium. Its description in RNAcentral is "partial 16S ribosomal RNA". It matches the Rfam family "Bacterial small subunit ribosomal RNA", at positions 28 to 507 of the family's 1533-position model. The record is from RNAcentral.